UCCCCUGUGGCUCAGUUGGUAGGGCAGCGUGUUUGCAACACCAGGGUUGUGGGUUUGAUUCCCACGGGGGAC
Molecule: non-coding RNA, 72 nt
Organism: Salmo salar (Atlantic salmon)
Lineage: Eukaryota; Metazoa; Chordata; Actinopteri; Salmoniformes; Salmonidae
Source: Rfam